This 486-nucleotide ribosomal RNA is filed under the name Eumodicogryllus bordigalensis. RNAcentral describes it as "partial 16S ribosomal RNA". It matches the Rfam family "Bacterial large subunit ribosomal RNA", at positions 1833 to 2582 of the family's 2925-position model. Lineage: Eukaryota; Metazoa; Arthropoda; Insecta; Orthoptera; Gryllidae. The record is from RNAcentral.
CUUCUUGAAUUAAUAUGAAGUCGUGCCUGCCCACUGAUGAAUUAAAUGGCCGCGGUAUAUCUGACCGUGCAAAGGUAGCAUAAUCAUUAGUCUUUUAAUUGGAGGCUGGAAUGAAUGGUUUGACGAAACAUGAACUGUCUCGGGUUAAUUUAUUGAAUUUUAUUUUUGAGUUAAAAAGCUCAAAUUAUGAUAGGGGACGAGAAGACCCUAUAGAUCUUGAAAUGAUGUAUUAGUGAUUUUUAUUUAGUUGUAUGAAUGAUGAUUAUUAUAUUAUUUUUGGUUGGGGUGACGAGAGAAUAUAAAAACUUCUUUUAACUGUACUGUGAUAUCUGGAUUUAGGAUCCUGUAAUAUGGAAUUAAGAUAAAGAUACCUUAGGGAUAACAGCGUAAUUUUAUUGGAGAGUUCAUAUUGAUAAUAAAGAUUGCGACCUCGAUGUUGGAUUAAGAAUAUAAUUGGGUGCAGAAGUUCAAUUUAUUGGUCUGUUC